RNAcentral lists this transfer RNA (92 nucleotides) under Chthonomonadales bacterium. Its description in RNAcentral is "tRNA-Ser". It matches the Rfam family "tRNA". Rfam says of the family: Transfer RNA (tRNA) molecules are approximately 80 nucleotides in length. Their secondary structure includes four short double-helical elements and three loops (D, anti-codon, and T loops). Lineage: Bacteria; Bacillati; Armatimonadota; Chthonomonadia; Chthonomonadales. The record is from RNAcentral.
GGAGAGAUGGCUGAGUGGUCGAUAGCGGCGGUUUGCUAAACCGUUGUAGGGUUAAAAUCCUACCCCGGGUUCGAAUCCCGGUCUCUCCGCCA